UGACACCCUUCACCUCAUCAUGGCACUACAAAUCAUCAGCGUGCUUCUUUUCACUGUGUUUUUCUCCAAAGCACUGACACUGAUGUGUUACAACUGUACCACAAAAGUUUCACCUGGAACAUGCAAUCAAACUGCUAACUGUUCUUCAAACUUAGGGUGCAGCUCCAUGACCACAUACGAUGGCAGUGACAUUACUUAUAAUAAUAAAUGCGCAAAUACUACCUUGUGUGAUGACUGGAGUAUAACUCUUAGACAGAUCAGGAUGUUCUCCCACUGCUGUGCUUCAGAUCUCUGCAACAAUGCUACAGCUUCAGACUCAGAGAACGGAUUGAUGUGUUACACCUGCAAUGACAUAUACUGCUCAAACACCCAAACACUGAAAUGUAAAGGUGAUGAGAACCAGUGCAUCACUGCAGCAGUAAAUGUCAGCAAUAUCAUUUCAAAAGGAUGCGCAAGCCAAAACUUCUGUAAGAACAGUACACUAUGGAGAAAUGCACUAUUGAGCAGUAUAACAGGGAAUAGUACACUACCAAACAGUGCACCAUUGAACAAUUCACAAUUCCAACAGCCGUCCGUGUCUUCUGUUUCAUGUUGUGGAGCAAACCUGUGUAAUAAUGCCCCGAGUACGACACAGGAAGCUGUGUUGCUGCUAGUACCAGUCCUUUCCCUCUUUUUUUCCAUCUGAGAUCUGUUUUAAGAGGAUUUCUUUUGUUUUUUUUUAGUCUGUGGAUGCUUGUCUUUGUAAAUGCAAAGCAGUUUCGAGCUUUUCUGUUUAAUUGAGGGGAAUUUAUUUGCUUAAAAUGACCGUCUGUCUCAUAACAAGCAUGCUGCAAGCAUGUAUUUCUAAUCAUAAAUGUAAUCAUGUAAAAUAAAUAUUAAAUUAGGAAUACUUUAUUAGCAAUCUUAUUAAACACUAUAAUUUGAAUGACCAAAAUCCCUUGCUAUUUUCCUGUCAAUGUGCAGAACGAUUAGAAAGAGAGAAGAGUAACAGUGAUUAAUAAUUUCUUAUUGAUGGAAGUUGAAUUACAGCACAUUUUCACUGUUAUAUGAGCCCAUUCACUUUAGGUGCGCUAUGAAUAUUUGUAUACUAGAAGUAUUUUUUAAAUAAAAAAUAUGCUUCUUCCAAUGGAAUGCAUUUUGUUGACAGAGGAAGACAUCAUAUGAAAUUAGAUUUGUGAUUGAAUAAGAUGAAAAGAACUUUUCAAGAGUUACUUCAUUGUUGAUAAUGUAAUGAAUGUCAAGUUGAGUGUUCAAGCCCCUUUAUGUUAUAAUAUAAUAUAAUAUGUUACGUCCAAGGACGUACAGUAUGUUUAAUUAUUAUAGCGGUGUGUCAUGUAUUUUUAUGUGAAUAUUCAGUGUUUUGGACUGUGUGUUUUGUUCGUUGCCCUCUUUCUUUCUCCUUCCAUUGUAAUUCUGGUCCUCUGAUUGAUCAGCUGCUUUCAACAAGUUGAUGGAGGAGAUUAGAUGGUGUAAGGGAGGAGAAGAGAUAUAAGCAGCAUUGGAUCUGUGGAGAAGAGAGAGAGACUUCCUUUCAGGAGGAUGGAUUCUUCCUCCUGCUUCCCAGAAUCAUGUGUUGAUUUAUACUGUUGAGUUGUUUAUGAGCGACUGUUCUUUUCUCAGGGCUUCCUGUUCUCAGGAUGGGUUCAGGGUGUAUUCACACUAGGCACAGUGGCCUUGAACCGAGCCCGAGCGCGAUUGUGAAAUGUGUCAAAAACGGUUGUGAAAAAGUAUACUAGAUGUAGGAGCCAGUGUUAAUAUAAAUGUAUUUCAAACUAUCACCAGGUGGGGGCAGUAUGUGCACAGAGGGUUUUUUAAACAGGUGUUUCGUACACGUAGAAUUAGGAUUAGAGGAGGGAAAGCACCAGUGUUGCCAAUUUAGGGAUUUUGUCAAAAGUAUGUAACUAAGUGUUUGCAUUAUGUUCAAUAAAGUAGCCUAAUUAAGUAGUUGA
This is a long non-coding RNA of Ctenopharyngodon idella (grass carp), 1949 nucleotides long. RefSeq lists it as uncharacterized. The record is from RefSeq and is a predicted model, not a curated record. NCBI's taxonomy places the organism in Eukaryota, Metazoa, Chordata, Actinopteri, Cypriniformes, Xenocyprididae. The transcript has 5 exons.